RNAcentral lists this long non-coding RNA (205 nucleotides) under Physcomitrium patens. Its description in RNAcentral is "long non-coding RNA (PPAT_LNC007465)". Lineage: Eukaryota; Viridiplantae; Streptophyta; Bryopsida; Funariales; Funariaceae. The record is from RNAcentral.
AAGCAUUGGCGCAGUUUUUGAGUAUGACGGACUUGCUGGCUGCGAGAGCUACUAACAGCGGCGACGGCGCGGAGGGUCUUAUGCACGAAGUGAACCUUGGUUUCUCUCCUCCCUCCCUGCCAAUCCAUCAGAGUGCGUAUGAGAGAAUCGGUUCUUUUGUUUUUGCAUCUCGCUUCAUGGCAGCACUUGCAAAGUUGGAAGGAAU